AGUGAACGCUGGCGGUAGGCCUAACACAUGCAAGUCGAACGGCAGCACAGUAAGAGCUUGCUCUUACGGGUGGCGAGUGGCGGACGGGUGAGGAAUACAUCGGAAUCUACUUUUUCGUGGGGGAUAACGUAGGGAAACUUACGCUAAUACCGCAUACGACCUACGGGUGAAAGCAGGGGAUCUUCGGACCUUGCGCGAUUGAAUGAGCCGAUGUCGGAUUAGCUAGUUGGCGGGGUAAAGGCCCACCAAGGCGACGAUCCGUAGCUGGUCUGAGAGGAUGAUCAGCCACACUGGAACUGAGACACGGUCCAGACUCCUACGGGAGGCAGCAGUGGGAAUAUUGGACAAUGGGCGCAAGCCUGAUCCAGCCAUACCGCGUGGGUGAAGAAGGCCUUCGGGUUGUAAAGCCCUUUUGUUGGGAAAGAAAAGCAGCAGGUUAAUACCCCGCUGUUCUGACGGUACCCAAAGAAUAAGCACCGGCUAACUUCGU
RNAcentral lists this ribosomal RNA (490 nucleotides) under uncultured bacterium. RNAcentral describes it as "partial 16S ribosomal RNA". It matches the Rfam family "Bacterial small subunit ribosomal RNA", at positions 29 to 506 of the family's 1533-position model. The record is from RNAcentral.